AGAGUUUGAUUCUGGCUCAGAACGAACGCUGGCGGCGUGGCUAAGACAUGCAAGUCGAACGGACUAUCCAAUUGAGUAAUCGAGCGGAUAGUUAGUGGCGAAAGGGUUAGUAAUGGAUAGGUAACGUACCCUAUGCUUCGGGAUAGCGUCGUCCCUUAGGGGAUUUCCGAAAGGGGCGGUAAUACCGGAUAAUAUCACUUUACGAUAGUUAAGUGAUCAAAGAUUUAUCGGCAAAGGAGCGGCCUAUCUCCUAUCAGCUUGUUGGUGAGGUAAUGGCUCACCAAGGCUUUGACGGGUAGCGGGACUGAGAGGUUGACCCGCAACAUCGGGACUGAGACACUGCCCGGACCUCCACGGAGGGCUGCAGUAACGAGUAUUGCGCAAUGGGCGAAAGCCUGACGCAGCGACGCCGCGUGCGGGAUGAAGUCCCUCGGGAUGUAAACCGCUGUCAGGGGUAAGAAGGUCCGGCUCCGGCCGGAUUGAUCUAACCCAGAGGAAGUCACGGCUAACUUCGUGCCAGCAGCCGCGGUAAGACGAAGGUGGCUAGCGUUGUUCGGUGUCAUUGGGCUUAAAGCGUGUGUAGGCGGAAAAGUAAGCGUUUUGUGAAAUCCCCCGGCUUAACCGGGGAAUUGCUUAGCGAACUACUUUUCUUGAGGCAAGUAGGGGUGCAUGGAACUCUUGGUGGAGCGGUGGAAUGCGUAGAUAUCAAGAGGUACGCCAGUGGUGAAAACGGUGCACUGGGCUUGUCCUGACGCUGAGACACGAAAGCGUGGGUAGCGAACGGGAUUAGAUACCCCGGUAGUCCACGCCGUAAACGAUGUCUACUAG
This 828-nucleotide ribosomal RNA is filed under the name uncultured Planctomycetota bacterium. Its description in RNAcentral is "bacterial SSU rRNA". It matches the Rfam family "Bacterial small subunit ribosomal RNA", at positions 8 to 819 of the family's 1533-position model. The record is from RNAcentral. Lineage: Bacteria; Pseudomonadati; Planctomycetota.